UAGGGCUAUACGGACUCGAACCGUAGACCUUCUCGGUAAAACAGAUCAAACUUAUU
RNAcentral lists this transfer RNA (56 nucleotides) under Anemone nemorosa. RNAcentral's name for it is "tRNA-Cys". Lineage: Eukaryota; Viridiplantae; Streptophyta; Magnoliopsida; Ranunculales; Ranunculaceae. The record is from RNAcentral.